RNAcentral lists this ribosomal RNA (939 nucleotides) under Streptomyces justiciae. Its description in RNAcentral is "partial 23S ribosomal RNA". It matches the Rfam family "Bacterial large subunit ribosomal RNA", at positions 698 to 1524 of the family's 2925-position model. The record is from RNAcentral. Lineage: Bacteria; Bacillati; Actinomycetota; Actinomycetes; Kitasatosporales; Streptomycetaceae.
AGUAGCGCGCUCAAGACCCGAAGCGGAGUGAUCUAGCCAUGGGCAGGUUGAAGCGGAGGUAAGACUUCGUGGAGGACCGAACCCACCAGGGUUGAAAACCUGGGGGAUGACCUGUGGUUAGGGGUGAAAGGCCAAUCAAACUCCGUGAUAGCUGGUUCUCCCCGAAAUGCAUUUAGGUGCAGCGUCGUGUGUUUCUUGCCGGAGGUAGAGCACUGGAUAGGCGAUGGGCCCUACCGGGUUACUGACCUUAGCCAAACUCCGAAUGCCGGUAAGUGAGAGCGCGGCAGUGAGACUGUGGGGGAUAAGCUCCAUGGUCGAGAGGGAAACAGCCCAGAGCAUCGACUAAGGCCCCUAAGCGUACGCUAAGUGGGAAAGGAUGUGGAGUCGCACAGACAACCAGGAGGUUGGCUUAGAAGCAGCCACCCUUGAAAGAGUGCGUAAUAGCUCACUGGUCUAGUGAUUCCGCGCCGACAAUGUAGCGGGGCUCAAGCGUACCGCCGAAGUCGUGUCAUUGCAGCAAUAGGGCCAACGCCUGCUGUGAUGGGUAGGGGAGCGUCGUGUGCCGGGUGAAGCCGCGCCGGAAGGCAGUGGUGGACGGUUCACGAGUGAGAAUGCAGGCAUGAGUAGCGAUUCACACGUGAGAAACGUGUGCGCCGAUUGACUAAGGGUUCCUGGGUCAAGCUGAUCUGCCCAGGGUAAGUCGGGACCUAAGGCGAGGCCGACAGGCGUAGUCGAUGGAUAACCGGUUGAUAUUCCGGUACCCGCUGUGAAGCGUCAAACAUCGAACCAGGCGAUGCUAAGUCCGUGAAGCCGCCCCGGAGCCUUCGGGCAAAGGGGAGUGGUGGAGCCGACGAACCAGACUUGCAGUAGGUGAGUGAUGGGGUGACGCAGGAAGGUAGUCCAUCCCGGGCGGUGGUUGUCCCGGGGUAAGGGUGUAGG